GACGAACACUGGCGGCAUGCCUAACACAUGCAAGUCGAACGGAGAUUAUUUCGGUAAUCUUAGUGGCGAACGGGUGAGUAACGCGUGGGCAACCUGCCCUCUAGAUGGGGACAACAUCCCGAAAGGGGUGCUAAUACCGAAUGUGACAGCAAUCUCGCAUGAGGAUGCUGUGAAAGAUGGCCUCUAUUUAUAAGCUAUCGCUAGAGGAUGGGCCUGCGUCUGAUUAGCUAGUUGGUGGGGUAACGGCCUACCAAGGCGAUGAUCAGUAGCCGGUCUGAGAGGAUGAACGGCCACAUUGGGACUGAGACACGGCCCAGACUCCUACGGGAGGCAGCAGUGGGGAAUCUUCCGCAAUGGGCGAAAGCCUGACGGAGCAAUGCCGCGUGAGUGAUGAAGGAAUUCGUUCCGUAAAGCUCUUUUGUUUAUGACGAAUGUGCAGAUUGUGAACAAUGAUCUGUAAUGACGGUAGUAAACGAAUAAGCCACGGCUAACUACGUG
RNAcentral lists this ribosomal RNA (498 nucleotides) under uncultured bacterium. RNAcentral's name for it is "partial 16S ribosomal RNA". It matches the Rfam family "Bacterial small subunit ribosomal RNA", at positions 28 to 507 of the family's 1533-position model. The record is from RNAcentral.